RNAcentral lists this ribosomal RNA (408 nucleotides) under uncultured bacterium. RNAcentral's name for it is "bacterial SSU rRNA". It matches the Rfam family "Bacterial small subunit ribosomal RNA", at positions 954 to 1359 of the family's 1533-position model. The record is from RNAcentral.
AUGGGAACGCGAAGAACCUUACCUACUCUUGACAUCCAGAGAACUUUCCAGAGAUGGAUUGGUGCCUUCGGGAACUCUGAGACAGGUGCUGCAUGGCUGUCGUCAGCUCGUGUUGUGAAAUGUUGGGUUAAGUCCCGCAACGAGCGCAACCCGUUAUCCUUUGUUGCCAGCGGUUCGGCCGGGAACUCAAAGGAGACUGCCAGUGAUAAACUGGAGGAAGGUGGGGAUGACGUCAAGUCAUCAUGGCCCUUACGAGUAGGGCUACACACGUGCUACAAUGGCGCAUACAAAGAGAAGCGACCUCGCGAGAGCAAGCGGACCUCAUAAAGUGCGUCGUAGUCCGGAUUGGAGUCUGCAACUCGACUCCAUGAAGUCGGAAUCGCUAGUAAUCGUAGAUCAGGAAUGCUA